AGUGAACGCUGGCGGUAGGCCUAACACAUGCAAGUCGAACGGCAGCACAGAGGAGCUUGCUCCUUGGGUGGCGAGUGGCGGACGGGUGAGGAAUACAUCGGAAUCUACUCUGUCGUGGGGGAUAACGUAGGGAAACUUACGCUAAUACCGCAUACGACCUAUGGGUGAAAGCAGGGGAUCUGCGGAUGUUGCGCGAUUGAAUGAUCCAAUGUCGGAUUAGCGAGUUGGCGGGAUAAAGGCCAACAAAGGCGACGAUCCGUAUCUGGUCUGAGAGGAUAAUCAGCCACACUGGAUCUGAGACACGGUCCAGACUCCUACGGGAGGCAGCAGUGGGGAAUAUUGGACAAUGGGCGCAAGCCUGAUCCAGCCAUACCGCGUGGGUGAAGAAGGCCUUCGGGUUGUAAAGCCCUUUUGUUGGGAAAGAAAUCCAUCUGGUUAAUACCCGGGUGGGAUGACGGUACCCAAAGAAUAAGCACCGGCUAACUUCGUGCCAGCCGCCGCCGUAA
This 506-nucleotide ribosomal RNA is filed under the name uncultured bacterium. RNAcentral describes it as "partial 16S ribosomal RNA". It matches the Rfam family "Bacterial small subunit ribosomal RNA", at positions 29 to 523 of the family's 1533-position model. The record is from RNAcentral.